GUGAAUCAUCGAAUUUUUGAACGCAAAUUGCACUCUCCUCGGAUAGUAUGGCUGUUUGAGGGUCAGCCUAUAAAAUAUCGACAUCGUUGCUUUUUCGCUGUGUCUUUGUUCUGAAAUUUGGUCAUCUUAAAGCCUUUUGGUUUUUAAGCGACUUAAAAUUUGCUUUGUGGUUCCGUGAACGUUUCUAAUAUUUAUUUCUUUACACGUUUAAGAUAUCGAUUUUUAUUAGACUUUACCAUCAUAUCGAGUCGCGGCCAUAAUCUUUCCUUAACUAUCCUCAUACAGGUAAGAGUACCCGCUU
This 301-nucleotide unclassified non-coding RNA is filed under the name Glomus sp. Its description in RNAcentral is "partial contains 5.8S ribosomal RNA and internal transcribed spacer 2". The stretch from base 1 to 65 matches the Rfam family "5.8S ribosomal RNA", at positions 84 to 154 of the family's 154-position model. The record is from RNAcentral. Lineage: Eukaryota; Fungi; Glomeromycota; Glomeromycetes; Glomerales; Glomeraceae.